CUGACCGAGCAACGCCGCGUGAGUGAAGAAGGUUUUCGGAUCGUAAAGCUCUGUUGUAAGUCAAGAACGUGUGUGAGAGUGGAAAGUUCACACAGUGACGGUAGCUUACCAGAAAGGGACGGCUAACUACGUGCCAGCAGCCGCGGUAAUACGUAGGUCCCGAGCGUUGUCCGGAUUUAUUGGGCGUAAAGGGAGCGCAGGCGGUCAGGAAAGUCUGGAGUAAAAGGCUAUGGCUCAACCAUAGUGUGCUCUGGAAACUGUCUGACUUGAGUGCAGAAGGGGAGAGUGGAAUUCCAUGUGUAGCGGUGAAAUGCGUAGAUAUAUGGAGGAACACCAGUGGCGAAAGCGGCUCUCUGGUCUGUCACUGACGCUGAGGCUCGAAAGCGUGGGUAGCGAACAGGAUUAGAUACCCUGGUAGUCCACGCCGUAAACGAUGAGUGCUAGGUGUUAGGCCCUUUCCGGGGCUUAGUGCCGGAGCUAACGCAAUAAGCACUCCGCCUGGGGAGUACGACCGCAAGGUUGAAACUCAAAGGAAUUGACGGGGGCCCGCACAAGCGGUGGAGCAUGUGGUUAAUUCGAAGCAACGCGAAGAACCUUACCAGGUCUUGACAUCCCGAUGCUAUUCUUAGAGAUAGGAAGU
RNAcentral lists this ribosomal RNA (640 nucleotides) under Streptococcus mutans. RNAcentral's name for it is "bacterial SSU rRNA". It matches the Rfam family "Bacterial small subunit ribosomal RNA", at positions 383 to 1014 of the family's 1533-position model. The record is from RNAcentral. Lineage: Bacteria; Bacillati; Bacillota; Bacilli; Lactobacillales; Streptococcaceae.